This is a long non-coding RNA of Bolinopsis microptera, 1704 nucleotides long. RefSeq lists it as uncharacterized. The record is from RefSeq and is a predicted model, not a curated record. Lineage: Eukaryota; Metazoa; Ctenophora; Tentaculata; Lobata; Bolinopsidae. The transcript is spliced from 3 exons.
UUACUAGUUCCUUUGGUUCUUUUCGUUCUUUCUCUAUCUAAUGAAAACUUAGUUUCCAAAAGCACUAUGACUAUAAGAUCAACUUGAAAUAGUCCGUAAUGUUGACAAUGCUGCCCAGUCUGGUUUUCCUCGCAGUCCUUCCUCUCUUCCGAUGUACAGAAAUUAUUACAAAUACUGAUUUUGAAAACAAGAAUAAAUGCAAGGACGAUCAGUACGGUGGUGGAAAUAUAACCAUAAGCUAUCUACAACGAGCUGAAAUAGUACAACUCUUUGAAAAGACUCUUAGGGGAGGCGAACUGAUAUCAAAUAACGGUUGUGUUAAUAAAGGGGAAAACGGGACCGGUUCCGAAUGCUGUACUGACUUGGAAAUUAUACCACACCACAAGAAUCGUUUGUGCGUCAAUAUCACAUACGUGGGAGUCAAUCAAACGGCAAUUGAUGUUUUCCUGACAUGGAACGGCCAAGUCGAAAUUCAUGCUGAACUGAUAGACUUUAACGAGUGCAUUUGCUUAAAACUCCCGAUAUGGAAGAUUGGAAAUCUUGUUGAAGUUUGUGUCUAUUUCACGAAGAUGUCGAGGGAAAACGGCACACUGAGUGGAUGCGUGAACCUAUUCUUCAGAUUCAUAAUUCCCUCCGCAUCGGUCCAAUUAGGUUGUUUCGGAAAUGAAAGAAGUGCUGCAUUCUCCGCUCAAUCAAGCACUACACAAAUCCUACUCACUUUCAUGCUACCUCUUUUGAAUCUUUUGGUAUUCAAUGAUUUCAGAUUUGGGUAUUGGAAUCUUAAAAAAGAUUCAGUCAUCAGUGUCUCUGACCUAGCUCGCUAGCCUUUGCUCGUUUCUCUCACUUUGACUUAGCAGCUUGAAAAGAAGCUAGCCUUGAAACAAUUCAGAUCAUUCUUAGAGUGUAAAUCGAGUAAUAAAAUAUAAGUAUACUUAUUACUUAUAAUGACACAUUAUCUUAUCACUUAUGAAGUUAUUUAUUGAUCUAUCGACUAUCAUCCAUAAAAAUAUAUAGUAUUAAUAAAUGUAUCAGUAUAAUAUCAUGGAUUACAAUUUAUUGUUCUGGAAAUGAUAUUGCAUAUUGAUAUAAUAUUGUAUUUCAGUAUUUGUAUACAGUAGAAUGUGCAUGAAUAUUGAAUAAUGAAUAUGAAUAUUUAUAUAUUUAUAGUCUGGUAUUGGUAGUAACGAUUAUGUUAAAAAGGUAUUAAGAUUUUAGAAUUUGCGAACUUAAUAACUAUAUACUACUAUAUACAGCUAGUACUACUACUUUAUUAUUAUAAGCAUUUGGCAUAAUGCAUAUAAUUGAAAGCCAAUAUUGCAGAAUGCAGAUCAGAGUGUUAUGUUGUGUGUGUGCUAAUUAAUGUUUUGGGGAUCAAUCCACCCACUCGUACUAGUACUCGUAAUGACAAUCUACCUUUGUCAUUUGUGUCCGACUGCAGUUUAGGCCUGGGUUAUUGCCCGGCAAACGUGGUAAAUGGUAAAUCGGGGGUUAACGUAUUUUUAUUAUAAGUAAAACUUUAACAGACAACUUUUAACUUGCUUUUUUAUAUUAACUGCUUUUGGUUUCCCACGAGGUAGUAGCAUGCUGCAUGCUAAAUUAUUUUUGAUCCGACUUGAUCUGCAAACCAAUAUUUUGAAUAUUCUAAAUCUAAUCAUUAUCAGUUUUAUAGCUGAGAGUAAGAUAAGCUAUUUUUCUCUUUUUAAG